Regulatory RNA element from Loxodonta africana (African savanna elephant), 46 nucleotides. It matches the Rfam family "Histone 3' UTR stem-loop". Rfam says of the family: The mRNAs of metazoan histone genes lack a poly-A tail. NCBI's taxonomy places the organism in Eukaryota, Metazoa, Chordata, Mammalia, Proboscidea, Elephantidae. The record is from Rfam.
UCAAAGGCUCUUUUCAGAGCCACCCAUGUAUUCAUUAAAAGGGCUU